GCUCUUAUGGUGUAAUGGUUAGCACUCUGGACUCUGAAUCCAGCGAUCCGGGUUCAAAUCCUGGUAGGACCU
RNAcentral lists this transfer RNA (72 nucleotides) under Phytophthora sojae. RNAcentral's name for it is "tRNA PHYSODRAFT_t432". It matches the Rfam family "tRNA". From Rfam's summary of the family: Transfer RNA (tRNA) molecules are approximately 80 nucleotides in length. Their secondary structure includes four short double-helical elements and three loops (D, anti-codon, and T loops). Further hydrogen bonds mediate the characteristic L-shaped molecular structure. tRNAs have two regions of fundamental functional importance: the anti-codon, which is responsible for specific mRNA codon recognition, and the 3' end, to which the tRNAs corresponding amino acid is attached (by aminoacyl-tRNA synthetases). tRNAs cope with the degeneracy of the genetic code in two manners: having more than one tRNA (with a specific anti-codon) for a particular amino acid; and 'wobble' base-pairing, i.e. permitting non-standard base-pairing at the 3rd anti-codon position. The record is from RNAcentral. RNAcentral also lists the same sequence under 1 other name. Lineage: Eukaryota; Oomycota; Peronosporomycetes; Peronosporales; Peronosporaceae.